CGAUCCCAUCCCGAACUCGGAAGUGAAACGCAGCUGCGCCGAUGGUAGUGUGGCUCAAGCCAUGCGAGAGUAGGUCAUCGCCAGGGU
Molecule: ribosomal RNA, 87 nt
Filed under: Stenotrophomonas maltophilia Ab55555
Lineage: Bacteria; Pseudomonadati; Pseudomonadota; Gammaproteobacteria; Lysobacterales; Lysobacteraceae
Source: RNAcentral